RNAcentral lists this signal recognition particle RNA (97 nucleotides) under Brachybacterium faecium. RNAcentral's name for it is "signal recognition particle sRNA small type". It matches the Rfam family "Bacterial small signal recognition particle RNA". From Rfam's summary of the family: The signal recognition particle (SRP) is a universally conserved ribonucleoprotein involved in the co-translational targeting of proteins to membranes. Archaeal SRP consists of a 7S RNA and homologues of the eukaryotic SRP19 and SRP54 proteins. Lineage: Bacteria; Bacillati; Actinomycetota; Actinomycetes; Micrococcales; Dermabacteraceae. RNAcentral also lists the same sequence under 2 other names. The record is from RNAcentral.
GGCGACCCCUCGUGUGGUGUCAUCUCGCUGAACUCCCCCAGGGCUUGACGGCAGCAAGGGCAGGCGGGCUCUGGCAGGUGCACGGGGGGUCACUUCA